Molecule: ribosomal RNA, 253 nt
Filed under: uncultured bacterium
Lineage: Bacteria
Description: partial 16S ribosomal RNA
Rfam family: Bacterial small subunit ribosomal RNA
Source: RNAcentral
UACGAAGGGGGCUAGCGUUGCUCGGAAUUACUGGGCGUAAAGGGCGCAUAGGCGGCCUGCUAAGUCGGACGUGAAAUCCCUCGGCUCAACCCCGGGACUGCGUCCGAUACUUCCGAGCUGGAGGUAGGUAGGGGAGAUCGGAAUUCCUGGUGUAGCGGUGAAAUGCGCAGAUAUCAGGAGGAACACCAGUGGCGAAGGCGGCACUCUGGGCCGGUACUGACGCUGAUGAGCGAAAGCGUGGGGAGCGAACAGG